AUACUUACCUGGCAGGGAAGAUACCAUGAUCACAAAGGUGGUUUUCCCAGGGCGAGGCUUAUCCGUUGCACUCUGGAUGUGCUGACCCCCGUGAUUUCCCCAAAUGUGUGAAACUCGACUGCAUAAUUCGUGGCAGUGAGGGAACUGCGUUCACAUUCUCCCCUG
RNAcentral lists this small nuclear RNA (165 nucleotides) under Echinops telfairi (small Madagascar hedgehog). Its description in RNAcentral is "U1 spliceosomal RNA (ENSETEG00000020669.1)". It matches the Rfam family "U1 spliceosomal RNA". From Rfam's summary of the family: U1 is a small nuclear RNA (snRNA) component of the spliceosome (involved in pre-mRNA splicing). Its 5' end forms complementary base pairs with the 5' splice junction, thus defining the 5' donor site of an intron. Lineage: Eukaryota; Metazoa; Chordata; Mammalia; Afrosoricida; Tenrecidae. The record is from RNAcentral.